This 315-nucleotide long non-coding RNA is filed under the name Anas platyrhynchos (mallard). Its description in RNAcentral is "lncRNA (ENSAPLG00020007581.1)". The record is from RNAcentral. Lineage: Eukaryota; Metazoa; Chordata; Aves; Anseriformes; Anatidae.
AUGGAAGAAGUGGUUGAGGCCAGAACACCAGUUCGUGCAGGCAAUACAGCUGCUACAAACAGGGCAGGAGGCAGAGCACGUGUGCUGUUGGGGCUGCGGGCAGCACAGUCACAUCGAGGACUCAGGCAGUGCUGGGAGAAGAGCUCUUCAUUUACUCUGGGGCUGACUCCUAGAUGCUCAGAGACACGAGUGUUCCUGCUUACUGAGUGUCUUCAAGAACGAACUGGAAUUAAAGCACUAAGCAACGCAUUAUUGGUGACAAGCUGCUGGGUAUCUAAUCUCAGACAGAGCCACAGUGAAAAAUGCUGUGGAUGA